UUGAAUGCGUCGACGACGGUAAGACCAGCGAAAGUUGGAUUAAUACCGCAUGUGGCGGGGAUGGGAUUCCAUUCUUUGCUAAAGGUAGGGACCUUCGGGCCUGCCGCUUCGAGAUUGGCUCGCGGCCUAUCAGUUUGUUGGUGGGGUAAUGGCCUACCAAGACAACGACGGGUAGCCGGUCUGAGAGGAUGUCCGGCCACACUGGAACUGAGACACGGUCCAGACACCUACGGGUGGCAGCAGUCGAGAAUCAUGCACAAUGGGCGAAAGCCUGAUGCUGCAACGCCGCGUGGAGGAUGAAGGCCCUAGGGUCGUAAACUCCUGUCACCAAUGAGUAUGGGCAUUAUGUUUAAUAGAUGUAGUAUUUGAUAGUAAUUGGAGAGGAAGGGACGGCUAACUUCGUGCCAGCAGCCGCGGUAAUACGAAGGUCCCAAGCGUUGUUCGGAAUCACUGGGCGUAAAGCGUAUGUAGGCGGCGUGGAAAGUCAGGUGUGAAAGCCCGGGGCUCAACCCCGGAAUUGCACCCGAUACUCCCACGCUAGAGUAAUGGAGGGGAGUCUGGAAUUCACGGUGUAGCAGUGAAAUGCGUGGAUAUCGUGAGGAACACUAGUGGCGAAGGCGAGACUCUGGACAUUUACUGACGCUGAGAUACGAAGGCUAGGGGAGCGAAUGGGAUUAGAUACCCCAGUAGUC
RNAcentral lists this ribosomal RNA (692 nucleotides) under uncultured cyanobacterium. Its description in RNAcentral is "bacterial SSU rRNA". It matches the Rfam family "Bacterial small subunit ribosomal RNA", at positions 122 to 795 of the family's 1533-position model. The record is from RNAcentral. Lineage: Bacteria; Bacillati; Cyanobacteriota.